RNAcentral lists this ribosomal RNA (253 nucleotides) under uncultured bacterium. Its description in RNAcentral is "partial 16S ribosomal RNA". It matches the Rfam family "Bacterial small subunit ribosomal RNA", at positions 524 to 776 of the family's 1533-position model. The record is from RNAcentral.
UACGUAGGGCGCAAGCGUUGUCCGGAAUUAUUGGGCGUAAAGAGCUCGUAGGCGGUCUGUUACGUCCGCUGUGAAAACCCAGGGCUUAACCCUGGGCUUGCAGUGGAUACGGGCAGACUAGAGUGUGGUAGGGGAGACUGGAAUUCCUGGUGUAGCGGUGAAAUGCGCAGAUAUCAGGAGGAACACCGAUGGCGAAGGCAGGUCUCUGGGCCACUACUGACGCUGAGAAGCGAAAGCAUGGGGAGCGAACAGG